This 303-nucleotide ribosomal RNA is filed under the name uncultured bacterium. RNAcentral describes it as "partial 16S ribosomal RNA". It matches the Rfam family "Bacterial small subunit ribosomal RNA", at positions 507 to 807 of the family's 1533-position model. The record is from RNAcentral.
AGCAGUAGCCACGGUAAUACGGAGGGAGCUAGCGUUGUUCGGAAUUACUGGGCGUAAAGCGCGCGUAGGCGGUUACUCAAGUCAGAGGUGAAAGCCCGGGGCUCAACCCCGGAACUGCCUUUGAAACUAGGUGACUAGAAUCUUGGAGAGGUCAGUGGAAUUCCGAGUGUAGAGGUGAAAUUCGUAGAUAUUCGGAAGAACACCAGUGGCGAAGGCGACUGACUGGACAAGUAUUGACGCUGAGGUGCGAAAGCGUGGGGAGCAAACAGGAUUAGAGACCCCCGUAGUCCCUGUCUCUUAUAC